Molecule: ribosomal RNA, 305 nt
Filed under: uncultured bacterium
Lineage: Bacteria
Description: bacterial SSU rRNA
Rfam family: Bacterial small subunit ribosomal RNA
Source: RNAcentral
GGCCCUACGGGAGGCAGCAGUAGGGAAUCUUCCACAAUGGACGCAAGUCUGAUGGAGCAACGCCGCGUGAGUGAAGAAGGCUUUCGGGUCGUAAAACUCUGUUGUUGGAGAAGAAUGGUCGGCAGAGUAACUGUUGUCGGCGUGACGGUAUCCAACCAGAAAGCCACGGCUAACUACGUGCCAGCAGCCGCGAUAAUACGUAGGUGGCAAGCGUUAUCCGGAUUUAUUGGGCGUAAAGCGAGCGCAGGCGGUUUUUUAAGUCUGAUGUGAAAGCCCUCGGCUUAACCGAGGAAACGCAUCGGAAA